Molecule: signal recognition particle RNA, 87 nt
Filed under: Bombilactobacillus apium
Lineage: Bacteria; Bacillati; Bacillota; Bacilli; Lactobacillales; Lactobacillaceae
Description: Bacterial small signal recognition particle RNA
Rfam family: Bacterial small signal recognition particle RNA
About the family: The signal recognition particle (SRP) is a universally conserved ribonucleoprotein involved in the co-translational targeting of proteins to membranes. Archaeal SRP consists of a 7S RNA and homologues of the eukaryotic SRP19 and SRP54 proteins. In most bacteria, the SRP consists of a 4.5S RNA and the Ffh protein (a homologue of the eukaryotic SRP54 protein).
Source: Rfam by way of RNAcentral
GACCGGAGGCAAUGAUGGACUUACGAAUUGUGUCAGGUUCGGAAGAAAGCAGCACUAAGUAUGUUUCGUCAUGUGCCUUUUUUAUAU